CCUACGGGAGGCAGCAGUAGGGAAUCUUUCACAAUGGGCGAAAGCCUGAUGGAGCAACGCCGCGUGCAGGAUGAAGGCCUUCGGGUUGUAAACUGCUUUUAUAAGCGAGAAAUAUGAUGGUAACUUAUGAAUAAGGAUCGGCUAACUACGUGCCAGCAGCCGCGGUCAUACGUAGGAUCCGAGCAUUAUCCGGAGUGACUGGGUGUAAAGAGUUGCGUAGGUGGCAUAAGAAGUAGCUAGUGAAAUCUGGUGGCUCAACCAUUCAGACUAUUAGCUAAACUGUUAAGCUCGAGACCGUUAGGGGUAACUGGAAUUUCGAGUGUAGGAGUGAAAUCCGUAGAUAUUAGAAGGAACACCAAUAGCGUAGGCAGGUUGCUGGGACGGUUCUGACACUAAGGCACGAAAGCGUAGGGAGCAAACGGGAUUAGAUACCCCAGUAGUC
RNAcentral lists this ribosomal RNA (442 nucleotides) under uncultured bacterium. RNAcentral describes it as "partial 16S ribosomal RNA". It matches the Rfam family "Bacterial small subunit ribosomal RNA", at positions 338 to 795 of the family's 1533-position model. The record is from RNAcentral.